This 341-nucleotide ribosomal RNA is filed under the name Nematoda environmental sample. RNAcentral's name for it is "SSU rRNA". It matches the Rfam family "Eukaryotic small subunit ribosomal RNA", at positions 1300 to 1665 of the family's 1831-position model. Lineage: Eukaryota; Metazoa; Nematoda. The record is from RNAcentral.
GGUGGAGCGAUUUGUCUGGUUAAUUCCGAUAACGAACGAGACUCUGGCCUAUUAAAUAGACGAGAUAUUCUAAAGUAUCUCGCGCUUCUUAGAGGGACAAGCGGCGUCUAGUCGCAUGAAAAAGAGCAAUAACAGGUCUGUGAUGCCCUUAGAUGUCCGGGGCUGCACGCGCGCUACACUGAAAGAAUCAGUGGGCGUUAUACCUAGUUCGGAAGAACCGGGUAACCCAAGUAAUUUCUUUCGUGCUUGGGAUAGGGAAUUGCAAUUAUUUCCCUUAAACGAGGAAUUCCCAGUAAACGCGGGUCAUAAGCUCGUGUUGAAUACGUCCCUGCCCUUUGUAC